This 371-nucleotide ribosomal RNA is filed under the name uncultured organism. RNAcentral's name for it is "bacterial SSU rRNA". It matches the Rfam family "Bacterial small subunit ribosomal RNA", at positions 526 to 896 of the family's 1533-position model. The record is from RNAcentral.
CGAACCGUGCGAACGUUGUUCGGAAUCACUGGGCUUAAAGGGCGCGUAGGCGGCUUGCCAAGUCGGGGGUGAAAUACUUCAGCUUAACUGGAGAAGUGCCUUCGAUACUGGCAGGCUUGAGGGAGGUAGGGGUCUGUGGAACUUCUGGUGGAGCGGUGAAAUGCGUUGAUAUCAGAAGGAACGCCGGUGGCGAAAGCGACGGACUGGACCUCUUCUGACGCUGAGGCGCGAAAGCUAGGGGAGCAAACGGGAUUAGAUACCCCGGUAGUCCUAGCCCUAAACGAUGGGUACUAGAUUGUGGACUUGACAUGGGUUCACAGUCGAAGCAAAAGUGUUAAGUACCCCGCCUGGGGAGUAUGGUCGCAAGGCUG